UAUCUAUCUAAUCAACUUGGGCUAUUAAUUAGAUAGUCCGUAAUCAACUUGAAAAACAUAUAAGUCUAAUUACGGUAAGAGCCUUGGUGCAUCAUUGUAAAGUCACCUUUGGGCUAACAAUACAACACGCUAUAAGGUACUCUUAAGACAUAUCAUGAAGCCAAUUAACAAAGUCACAUCAGCUUUCGAAACACCAUCGCCUUUGGGCA
RNAcentral lists this long non-coding RNA (209 nucleotides) under Phoenix dactylifera (date palm). RNAcentral's name for it is "long non-coding RNA (PDAC_LNC017967)". Lineage: Eukaryota; Viridiplantae; Streptophyta; Magnoliopsida; Arecales; Arecaceae. The record is from RNAcentral.